RNAcentral lists this microRNA precursor (184 nucleotides) under Oryza brachyantha (malo sina). RNAcentral describes it as "MIR812 microRNA precursor family". It matches the Rfam family "MIR812 microRNA precursor family". The record is from Rfam by way of RNAcentral. Lineage: Eukaryota; Viridiplantae; Streptophyta; Magnoliopsida; Poales; Poaceae.
AAUGAAAGAUUUUUUGAGUUUUGUAUCGAACUUUUAACUCUUCGUUUUAUUUGAAAAUUUUUUAUGAUUAAUAUUUUUAUUGUUAUUACAUGAUAAAAUAUAAAUAGUACUUAAUUUUUUUCAAUUUUUUAAUAAAAUUUUUAAAUAAGACAGAUGGUCAAACGCUCCAUAGACAAAACUCAGG